This 505-nucleotide ribosomal RNA is filed under the name uncultured bacterium. RNAcentral describes it as "partial 16S ribosomal RNA". It matches the Rfam family "Bacterial small subunit ribosomal RNA", at positions 28 to 507 of the family's 1533-position model. The record is from RNAcentral.
GACGAACGCUGGCGGCGUGCCUAAUACAUGCAAGUAGAACGCACAGUUUAUACCGUAGCUUGCUACACCAUAGACUGUGAGUUGCGAACGGGUGAGUAACGCGUAGGUAACCUGCCUGGUAGCGGGGGAUAACUAUUGGAAACGAUAGCUAAUACCGCAUAAUAUUAAUUAUUGCAUGAUAAUUAAUUGAAAGGUGCAAUUGCACCACUACCAGAUGGACCUGCGUUGUAUUAGCUAGUAGGUGAGGUAACGGCUCACCUAGGCGACGAUACAUAGCCGACCUGAGAGGGUGAUCGGCCACACUGGGACUGAGACACGGCCCAGACUCCUACGGGAGGCAGCAGUAGGUAAUCUUCGGCAAUGGACGAAAGUCUGACCGAGCAACGCCGCGUGAGUGAAGAAGGUUUUCGGAUCGUAAAGCUCUGUUGUAAGAGAAGAACGGGUGUGAGAGUGGAAAGUUCACACUGUGACGGUAUCUUACCAGAAAGGGACGGCUAACUACGUG